This 253-nucleotide ribosomal RNA is filed under the name uncultured bacterium. RNAcentral describes it as "partial 16S ribosomal RNA". It matches the Rfam family "Bacterial small subunit ribosomal RNA", at positions 524 to 776 of the family's 1533-position model. RNAcentral also lists the same sequence under 2 other names. The record is from RNAcentral.
UACGUAGGGGGCGAGCGUUGUCCGGAGUUACUGGGCGUAAAGCGCACGCAGGCGGUUUCGUACGUCUGGAGUGACAGUUCCCGGCUCAACUGGGAAAGGUCUUUGGAAACGGCGAGACUUGAGGGCUUCAGAGGGACACGGAAUUCCGGGUGGAGUGGUGAAAUGCGUAGAGAUCCGGAGGAACACCAAUGGCGAAGGCAGUGUCCUGGGAAGCAUCUGACGCUCAGGUGCGAAAGCUAGGGGAGCGAACAGG